GAGAAGUCGUAACAAGGUUUCCGUAGGUGAACCUGCGGAAGGAUCAUUCACAUUUGAACUGUUCCAGACUAGGCGUAGUCCUAGUCUAGGGUAACCACCAUCCUAACAACACACUAGUUGUGCCAGGUUUGGAUGGCGUUUUACCCACUGCAACGUGCAUGGUUCCAUUGGAACCUUGCUUGCCUGGGAUUCCAUUCCAGGACGUUGCUCUCCUACCCCUCCGUAGAGUCAAUGCGACUUUUCGGGUUAUGCUUUUGGUCUUGGACCAAGAGAUACGAGUGUCUCACGUCGUUGCCGUGGUCACCCGAUUAGAACCGGCUUAAUUGGAGAUUCCAUUAAACUGGUCUUAUGUCCCUAGUGGAAUUUGCGACUCCGUGCUUCGGCACCAUGUAUAAAUUCAACUUUCAGCGAUGGAUGUCUUGGCUCACACGACGAUGAAGGACGCAGCGAAUUGCGAUAAGCAGUAUGACUUGCAGACUUCUGCGAUUUACCAGACCUCUGAACGUAACCAACACACCACCUCUGCUCGCACGUGGUACUCCCAUCUCAGUGAGUUUUUUUCCUAGUCCACGGACCCUUUUUGGUACACAUGUUGUUUACCACAGUGUGUGUACCAACAGGGUCUAGGUGUACUGAGAUUGCGCCUCGAUUUGUGGCGUUAAUUUUCGUUUCCCAAAUGUUCAUCACAAGGCCUAAGUGCCAAGUGGAGCUUCCUUGUUGUAGUUGCUGCUCUCUUGUGGUUUCCACUGUGUAGUAUUUGGGAGGCCCACCAACCACAACAUACGUGUUGGUGGUCAUAUCUUCUCCUGAGAUUGGGUGAGGCUAUCCGCUGAAUUUAAGCAUAUAAUUAAGCGGCAGAAGAGAAAAUAACCAUGAUUCCCCUAGUAACGGCGAGUGAAGC
Molecule: ribosomal RNA, 901 nt
Filed under: Babesia sp. Bareilly
Lineage: Eukaryota; Apicomplexa; Aconoidasida; Piroplasmida; Babesiidae
Description: eukaryotic LSU rRNA
Rfam family: 5.8S ribosomal RNA (bases 400-555)
Source: RNAcentral